GUCAACGUGUCUGUGUUUGUAUGGAGUCAGAAGUCUCUGUGUGUAUGUGUGUAUGGACUCAGCAGUGUGUGUAUGGACUCAGCAGUCUGUGUGUGUGUGUGUGUGUGUAUGGACUCAGCAGUCUGUGUGUCUGUGUGUGUGUGUAUGGACUCAGCAGUCUGUCUGUGUUUGUAUGGACUCAGCAGUCUGUGUGUGUGUGUGUG
This is a non-coding RNA of Pelobates cultripes (western spadefoot toad), 203 nucleotides long. The record is from the annotation of a GenBank genome assembly. NCBI's taxonomy places the organism in Eukaryota, Metazoa, Chordata, Amphibia, Anura, Pelobatidae.